This 1039-nucleotide long non-coding RNA is filed under the name Mus spicilegus (steppe mouse). Its description in RNAcentral is "lncRNA (ENSMSIG00000009146.1)". The record is from RNAcentral. Lineage: Eukaryota; Metazoa; Chordata; Mammalia; Rodentia; Muridae.
UUUUUCUCAGCAACUACUAACUAACACAAACCAUAGAUACUUGUCCUUAAAGCUUUGAGACUGUCUACCUUCAGCACUUUUAAGUCUCUCAGACCUUUUGAGCUCAUUUCCAUGUAUGGGGUAAAGAGGGAGUCUAGCCAGACAGCUGAUCGUCCUAAAGCCGCUUGUGGGGAGAAUCUUAUUACCUCGUGCUGUUGUUGUGACAAAAUUUUCUUUAGUUUUGUUUGAAGGUUACAGUGGAUUGAAUUAUAAACAACGUCAUAGGGCAAGAUUUCAUUUUAUUAUGACAGUGUAAGUGAAGUGAAUUGUCUGAUACUGCCACCAGAUGGCAGUAGUGCCCCAUAUUUUGCCUAUUUCUUAUUUCCACUUCCCCAAAAGUGGGAAUAGGUUUUAACCAAAUACCAAAUAUCCUCCACAAAUCAUUCUUUGUCUUUCUUGCCCUCUUGAUGAACUUGACUUUGGCCACUCCAGUGCUGUGACUCUUGUUCCUCUAUUAUUGUUUUCUUGGCUAGCUUGAGCCUGAUUUUUCUGUUCCACGGUGAAGGGGUGAAAUUCGUAGGGAGAGGCCAUGCUUUGGGUUGCUGGGGAGGAUGUGAAAUAGAAUUCGAUUCAGACUCAGUGAUAAGAGGUUCAUGAUAUGAAAAUAUGGACAGUUUGAUCCAGCUGGUCUCACUAACAAGAGGCCUGGCAGGAAUGUGUGCUCACCGCAGGGCUGCAACAGCUUAAGCCACAGAUCCCGGUCUGGUCUCUAGCUCUUGGCUAGUUAACUAGGGCUCAGGGUCUAACAACUUGCCUUGUCCCUCAGUCACAUGUACUAGUUGGUAGGAUCUUUGUUGCUCCAAAUGCCAGUCUGACAGGAACUUGCGGAUCCUCAGCUCGUCAGCACUCUGGGAGCUAUUACCACCUGUCCAUCAGCGGCAUCAAGGAGCCAGGAGUGAUGACCUGGACAGUUCAGACUGUGGGAAGACGUCCGCGCUUUGAUAUUCCUCCACCCCCGCCUCGGGAUUGCACUAGGCAGCAUUGUGGGAUUCCUGGUUCU